AGUAGAGAUGGGCAUCGAGGCGGGCUGCGGCUUCCGCCAAUUCCCGAGCACUGCACGAGGGUGUGGGCACCUCAAAGGUUUCGUGGAAGCUGGCGUAGUCCACCUCAUAGAACCCAUCCUCCAGGGUGAGCACGGAUGUGAACCGGUGGCCCCACAACACUUCAUCCACCAGAGCCCGCCUCCACCCACCCCCAAGCAUUCCCAGACAAUGGGCAACUAGCUCUAGCAACUGAUUACACCCCAGGAUUGAAAGCUCACCAUCUCAUUAAAAGUCCAGUCCUUUGUGCGAUGGUGCCAAUAGUCUUUACAAAUGUGUUUUUACACUCCUGUGUCUAUAUGCGUGCAUGUGUACGUGUGUGGAGGUCAGAGGACAACUUGGGGAGAGAGCUGACUCCCCAGUGUGAGACCUGGUAAUUCAACUCAGGUCGGUCUUCAGGCGUCAGGCACGGU
RNAcentral lists this long non-coding RNA (450 nucleotides) under Mus pahari (shrew mouse). Its description in RNAcentral is "predicted gene, 36937 (MGP_PahariEiJ_G0003695.1)". The record is from RNAcentral. Lineage: Eukaryota; Metazoa; Chordata; Mammalia; Rodentia; Muridae.